GAUGAACGCUAGCGGCAGGCUUAACACAUGCAAGUCGAGGGGUAACAGGGAAGAGCUUGCUUUUCCGCUGACGACCGGCGCACGGGUGAGUAACGCGUAUAGAACCUACCUUUUACAGGGGAAUAGCCCAGAGAAAUUUGGAUUAAUGCCCUAUAGUAUUAUUGAAUGGCAUCAUUUAGUAAUUAAACAUUUAUGGGUAAAAGAUGGCUAUGCGUUCUAUUAGCUAGAUGGUAAGGUAACGGCUUACCAUGGCAACGAUAGAUAGGGGUCCUGAGAGGGAGAUCCCCCACACUGGUACUGAGACACGGACCAGACUCCUACGGGAGGCAGCAGUGAGGAAUAUUGGACAAUGGAGGCAACUCUGAUCCAGCCAUGCCGCGUGCAGGAAGACGGCCCUAUGGGUUGUAAACUGCUUUUAUACGGGAAGAAACCCAACUACGUGUAGUUGGCUGACGGUACCGUAAGAAUAAGCACCGGCUAACUCCGUGCCAGCAGCCGCGGUAAUACGGAGGGUGCAAGCGUUAUCCGGAAUCAUUGGGUUUAAAGGGUCCGUAGGCGGGCUAAUAAGUCAGGGGUGAAAUCCAACAGCUUAACUGUUGAACUGCCUUUGAUACUGUUAGUCUUGAAUUAUAUGGAAGUAGAUAGAAUGUGUAGUGUAGCGGUGAAAUGCUUAGAGAUUACACAGAAUACCGAUUGCGAAGGCAGUCUACUACGUAUAUAUGACG
RNAcentral lists this ribosomal RNA (725 nucleotides) under Lutibacter sp. RNAcentral's name for it is "bacterial SSU rRNA". It matches the Rfam family "Bacterial small subunit ribosomal RNA", at positions 28 to 745 of the family's 1533-position model. The record is from RNAcentral. Lineage: Bacteria; Pseudomonadati; Bacteroidota; Flavobacteriia; Flavobacteriales; Flavobacteriaceae.